CGUCGAUAGGCCAUAGGUGGAAGGGCGGCAACGUCCGUAGCCGAGUGGUACUAAUUGCCCGUUGGCUUGCGCAA
Molecule: ribosomal RNA, 74 nt
Filed under: Arenibacter sp. A80
Lineage: Bacteria; Pseudomonadati; Bacteroidota; Flavobacteriia; Flavobacteriales; Flavobacteriaceae
Also listed under: 1 other name
Description: partial 23S ribosomal RNA
Source: RNAcentral